Molecule: ribosomal RNA, 464 nt
Filed under: Bacillus pumilus
Lineage: Bacteria; Bacillati; Bacillota; Bacilli; Caryophanales; Bacillaceae
Description: bacterial SSU rRNA
Rfam family: Bacterial small subunit ribosomal RNA
Source: RNAcentral
CCUACGGGAGGCAGCAGUAGGGAAUCUUCCGCAAUGGACGAAAGUCUGACGGAGCAACGCCGCGUGAGUGAUGAAGGUUUUCGGAUCGUAAAGCUCUGUUGUUAGGGAAGAACAAGUGCGAGAGUAACUGCUCGCACCUUGACGGUACCUAACCAGAAAGCCACGGCUAACUACGUGCCAGCAGCCGCGGUAAUACGUAGGUGGCAAGCGUUGUCCGGAAUUAUUGGGCGUAAAGGGCUCGCAGGCGGUUUCUUAAGUCUGAUGUGAAAGCCCCCGGCUCAACCGGGGAGGGUCAUUGGAAACUGGGAAACUUGAGUGCAGAAGAGGAGAGUGGAAUUCCACGUGUAGCGGUGAAAUGCGUAGAGAUGUGGAGGAACACCAGUGGCGAAGGCGACUCUCUGGUCUGUAACUGACGCUGAGAGCGAAAGCGUGGGGAGCGAACAGGAUUAGAUACCCGGGUAGUC